UACGGAGGGGGCGAGCGUUAUUCACCUUGACUGGGCGUAAAGGGUAUGUAGAUGGUUUUAUAGGUCUAAGGCAAGUAAUCCGAGCACAACUUCAGAAGUUGCCUUAAAAACAAUAAAACUUGAGGUUUUUGGAAGUAAGUUACAUUUUUAGUGUAUGGGUGAAAUUAUUUGAUAUUAAAGAGAUAUUCGUAAAGCGAAAGCGACUUACUAUGAAAGCCUGACAUUGAGGUACGAAAGCAUGGGGAGCAAACAGG
Molecule: ribosomal RNA, 254 nt
Filed under: uncultured bacterium
Lineage: Bacteria
Description: partial 16S ribosomal RNA
Rfam family: Bacterial small subunit ribosomal RNA
Source: RNAcentral